UACGGGGGGGGUAAGCGUUGUUCGGAAUUACUGGGCGUAAAGGGCUCGUAGGCGGCCAACUAAGUCAUACGUGAAAUCCCUCAGCUUAACUGGGGAACUGCGUGUGAUACUGGAUGGUUUGGAUUUGGGAGAGGGAUGCGGAAUUCCAGGUGUAGCGGUGAAAUGCGUAGAUAUCUGGAGGAACACCGGUGGCGAAGGCGGCAUCCUGGACCAAUAUUGACGCUGAGGAGCGAAAGCUAGGGGAGCAAACGGG
Molecule: ribosomal RNA, 253 nt
Filed under: uncultured bacterium
Lineage: Bacteria
Description: partial 16S ribosomal RNA
Rfam family: Bacterial small subunit ribosomal RNA
Source: RNAcentral